RNAcentral lists this ribosomal RNA (62 nucleotides) under uncultured bacterium. RNAcentral describes it as "partial 16S ribosomal RNA". The record is from RNAcentral.
UAGCCUUGACAUAGUAAGAAUUUAAUAGAGAUAUAAAAGUGCUGCUUGCAGAACUUACAUAC